GGGAACAGUGGUGAUCGGUGAUUGGUUGUUUGGAACAGUGAUGAUUGGUUGUGGUGAUCGGUGAUUGGUUGAUGGGAACAGUGAUGAUCGGUGAUUGGUUGAUGGAACAGUGGUGAUCGGUGAUUGGUUGAUGGGAACAGUGAUGAUCGGUGAUUGGUUGAUGGAACAGUGGUGAUCGGUGAUUGGUUGUUGGGAACAGUGGUGAUCGGUGAUUGGUUGUUGGGAACAGUGGUGAUCGGUGAUUGGUUGAUGGGAACAGUGGUGAUUGGUGAUUGGUUGAUGGGAACAGUGGUGAUUGGUGAUUGGUUGUUUGGAACAGUGAUGAUUGGUUGUGGUGAUCGGUGAUUGGUUGAUGGGAACAGUGAUGAUCGGUGAUUGGUUGAUGGAACAGUGAUGAUCGGUGAUUGGUUGAUGGAACAGUGGGGAUCGGUGACUGGUUGAUGGGAACAGUGGUGAUUGGUGAUUGGUUUUUGGGAACAGUGGUGAUUGGUGAUUGGUUGUUUGGAACAGUGAUGAUUGGUUGUGGUUAUCGGUGAUUGGUUGAUGGGAACAGAGCUGAUCGGUGAUUGGUUGAUGGGAACAGUGGUGAUCGGUGAUUGGUUGAUGGUGAUUGGUUGAUGGGAACAGAGGUGAUCGGUGAUUGGUUGAUGGGAACAGUGGUGAUCGGUGAUUGGUUGAUGGGAACAGUGAUGAUCGGUGAUUGGUUGAUGG
Molecule: long non-coding RNA, 711 nt
Organism: Ictalurus punctatus (channel catfish)
Lineage: Eukaryota; Metazoa; Chordata; Actinopteri; Siluriformes; Ictaluridae
Source: Ensembl